This 695-nucleotide ribosomal RNA is filed under the name Debaryomyces hansenii. RNAcentral's name for it is "partial large subunit ribosomal RNA". It matches the Rfam family "Eukaryotic large subunit ribosomal RNA", at positions 79 to 792 of the family's 3401-position model. Lineage: Eukaryota; Fungi; Ascomycota; Pichiomycetes; Serinales; Debaryomycetaceae. The record is from RNAcentral.
CUUAGUAACGGCGAGUGAAGCGGCAAAAGCUCAAAUUUGAAAUCUGGCACCUUCGGUGUCCGAGUUGUAAUUUGAAGAAGGUAACUUUGGAGUUGGCUCUUGUCUAUGUUCCUUGGAACAGGACGUCACAGAGGGUGAGAAUCCCGUGCGAUGAGAUGCCCAAUUCUAUGUAAAGUGCUUUCGAAGAGUCGAGUUGUUUGGGAAUGCAGCUCUAAGUGGGUGGUAAAUUCCAUCUAAAGCUAAAUAUUGGCGAGAGACCGAUAGCGAACAAGUACAGUGAUGGAAAGAUGAAAAGAACUUUGAAAAGAGAGUGAAAAAGUACGUGAAAUUGUUGAAAGGGAAGGGCUUGAGAUCAGACUUGGUAUUUUGCGAUCCUUUCCUUCUUGGUUGGGUUCCUCGCAGCUUACUGGGCCAGCAUCGGUUUGGAUGGUAGGAUAAUGACUAAGGAAUGUGGCUCUACUUCGGUGGAGUGUUAUAGCCUUGGUUGAUACUGCCUGUCUAGACCGAGGACUGCGUCUUUUGACUAGGAUGUUGGCAUAAUGAUCUUAAGCCACCCGUCUUGAAACACGGACCAAGGAGUCUAACGUCUAUGCGAGUGUUUGGGUGUAAAACCCGUACGCGUAAUGAAAGUGAACGUAGGUGAGAGCUCUUAAGAGUGCAUCAUCGACCGAUCCUGAUGUCUUCGGAUGGAUUUG